UAAAUUAUAUUUUUUCUUUUUUUUUACAGAGCUCAGCUCUUGGGUUCUUGCUAGCACAAAAGCACUUUACAAACCCACUGGUUGCAGUUCCAUCAGCUGUUAGUGUUGUCUUCAUGGCGCUUGGAGGAAGUGCACUGGCUGUCUACUGGAGGAAUGUUGCCAUUCCUUUGGAUGAUAAAGAUGAUUUCAAGGAGUAACUGCAGUUUUGGAUUGACUUUUUUUGUUAAAUUUUUAAUAUUGAAUUGAUGUUACAUUAACUCCAGUCCUCACCUCUCCUACUGAACCUCAAACCUUUUGAAUAGUACCAGUACAUUGCAGUUGAGUGCACUACCGAGAAAUCUUCUGUCAGUAAGUUAUAAAUAUCUUGAUGAAGUGCAUCGAUUCCCUACAAGUUUUUCAGCCUUAAGAUGGACCAUACAUGGUGUGAACUGAUAUUGUGAUUCAGAGUUAUUGCUCUAAUUCAACAUUCUACUCAGGGAAAUCUUCUAAGUGAACUAGAUUUAGCAACAGGAAUAAAAAUUCAUGACACCAAUCAGUUUUUAGUUUUAAAUAAGGGUAAACCCUUUCUUCACGGUUGUAUAUAAUUUUUCCUUGCUGAAUAACAUGAUGGUUGAUAUUUUUAAUUAGGAUUCUCGUCAUCAAAUUGUAUUGGAUCGGAAUGUAAUAGAAGUUGACAUGUUUGGUAUCGAAACUGACCUAUGUUAAUGUGAUUUACCAACUUCAAUCAAUUAACUUGAGAAUUAAAGUUUUCA
Long non-coding RNA from Cryptomeria japonica (Japanese cedar), 752 nucleotides. RefSeq lists it as uncharacterized. The transcript has 2 exons. Lineage: Eukaryota; Viridiplantae; Streptophyta; Pinopsida; Cupressales; Cupressaceae. The record is from RefSeq and is a predicted model, not a curated record.